AUGUUUGCGUUUUAGUUUUUGGUUUUUUGAAAUUAUAUAUGUAUCAAAUGUAAUAGAAUACAUGACACUUGACACGUGAAAAAAUAUCAUUUUUAUGGAAAAUAGCUAGUGUUUAAAAAUCGUGAUUUUUGUAAAUAGAGUGACGACUUACUCUUAAGCAUCUUCCGCAAGAAUCACGGCCUCGCGGUCCAGUUGGACCGCAGAAAGCUGUCCAACCGUACUUCCUACGCCAUUCGAUAGGUUGGUUUCCUUUCCAUGUUGAGCAAUACGCACUUACUUUGUAAAGGUCCCAACCGUUUUGCUCGGGAUAAUAGUAAUGGUAAGUUGCUCUUACAUUAGAAGCGGUUUGAGCGGCUGCUUUAGCCGCAAAUGUGCAUAGCAAAACAAACAAACAUAUGCUAAGUCUUGCCAUAGGUGAUCUUUUAUGUUUGUUCUCUAAAAUAUAUUGUGAUACAAUCAGAGAUGGACGAAGAAAUUUAUAGGGAAAUAGUUUUCUUACAGAAUGGAUAAAUUGCUAUACCAAAAAGUUUGUCACAUUGUGAAUACUUUUCUUAGGGUUUGAAUUUUCAGUGGAUGACUAGCUAGCCUUGGGAGAUGUCUAUGGCGGCUUAUCAAGUUUUGUGGUGGAAAUUGAAAGUUUCUGAGGUAAUAAGAUUGAGCAUUUAUUAGAGGGGACAAAUGUUUAUGUUAUCUCACUUUAGUCUUGCUUGCUUCUUGUUGCCGGUAAGUGUAUGUAAUGACUUAUUUUUUCUUUUUGGUUUUGUUAUGUAAUGACAACUAUAAUGACUUAAUGAGUCUUUAUUUUACUAUUCGAUGAUUCGAUCUAAGACAUCUGAGUUUAUAUUCGAAUAAAUGUUAAAUUCAGAAUAUUUCAAUAUUUGGUUUACGUGAUUGAUAACUAGAACUAAAAUAUUCAUAUAUCCAGUGUAACCAAAAAGAAAUUAAGAAUAACAAAUGAGAUCAAUAUAUCCACUAAAAAAAUUAGAUAUUCGGAUAUUGAUUUUUAAUUUGUGAGAGAGAUGUUCAUGAUUAAAUCUACAUUAAUCAUUCUGAACCGGUUAAAAGUCAAUCAUCUAAAAUUAUGACCAUACAUGUUACUAAUACUCUAUACUUAGCUUCUAGCAGUUAUAAACAUGUAAAUCUAUGUGUAUAUAACUUAUGGAUGCAAAAUUUGCAUGGGUGUACACCUGUUUAUAUUCAAAUCCAAUUAUCAUUUUAUUCCUUAACAACUUUCCAAACACAUUAUUUUUGAUUAAUGGGUUUAUCUUCAUUGAUAUGAAAGAUAAACUCGAGACAUUAUUUUCUCUUAUUAAAAUUAUGUUAUAGUUUAAAGGUAGAUGCUGUGAUCCCUUAGAGGAACUAGAACUUGAAGAACUUCAGCAGUUGACAAACUCGUAGUUGACAAUCAAGUGCCCACGAGCGUUUCCCUGACCGUUAGUAUCAAGCUGUCUGAAAACACCCUCGUCUAAAUCCAAACCCCCGUUACUACACUGAUCCACGAUUCUCACUGUGGCUUGCGUUCCGGUCGCAGUAUUCGUCACCUGCGUUUGAGGGGACAUAUGCACACAUUCACAAAUUUUAUAUAGAAAAGGGCGUUUGAAAACGUGAUUUUUGAAAUAGAUAAAAAAUGACUUACCCUUAAACAUCUACCGCAAGAAUCACGACCGCGAGGUCCAACUGGACCGCAAAAAGCUG
RNAcentral lists this long non-coding RNA (1695 nucleotides) under Arabidopsis lyrata. RNAcentral's name for it is "long non-coding RNA (ALYR_LNC002233)". Lineage: Eukaryota; Viridiplantae; Streptophyta; Magnoliopsida; Brassicales; Brassicaceae. The record is from RNAcentral.